CGUGGCUAACUCACCCUAAAACCUAAUGUUGCCCUUUUAAAUGCCGAGGCAGUUUACUCACCCUAAAACCUAAUGUUGCCCUUUUAAAUGCCGAGGCAGUUUACAUAAACAUGUAUUACCGCUGCGUUAGAUUAUGAACAGGCUAUCCAUGUGCUGUUUAAUUUCACACCAAGGGUAGUAGAUAGUUUGACUGUCGUAGGUUUAUUUUGGCGGCCAUUUUGUAGGGGGAAUGCAACUCAAACAGGCGGGAACGAGCUUCGUGUCGAGGGCGCGCUUUUCGUGUAGACCCUGGUCUAAGCGAUAGCUAAAGCUGUCUGUGGUGUGAUCGAGAUUAACGGGCAGAGAGGGGGGGUCCCUUGCGAAUGCACAUCGCUAGUUAUAGCGGUGCAACAAGUACCCCAAUUUUAUUUUAAUCGUUUAUUUUUUAUUUAAACAAUACUCACCCCCCCCGUUCACCACAACAUGCAACACGUAGUUGGAUAUUAGUACUAACAGUUACAGUGAAAGCUAGCUAGUUAGUUAGCCAGCUAACGUUAGCUAGCCUCCCAGACUCAGCAGCUACGAUAAACCCAACGUUACCCGUUUGCUAACGUUACAUGGUUUCUUAAGUGAAACAGCGGCCACGAAAGAAUCAACGGGGAGAUAAUGUAUAUUUUGGAUGACAAUCUAGCCAUCGCCAUGCUACCCAAGCGGUACCACAUCUGUUACCUGUGAACUGCUCAAUUAACUAGCUUGCGCUGCGCUGGGCGGACCGCGCCGAACCUCCGGUUUCAUCCUGCGCUCUUGCUGGACUGCGUUUUGGAGACUAAACUCACUGAAGACCCGAGUUUUGACGGGGAUUUAUUGCAAAAAACGGGACUACCCUCUCGUUAUUAGGAUAUCUCACCCAUCAGAGGGGUGACAGUUUGGGGGUGGGGGGGAUUGGUUUACCGGUUCUUAUUCUGCCCGGUACCUGUGGUGGAGGCUAGGACGGAGGGAGAGAGGGAAUACUGAUAAUGGCUGCUCCGGGAAGCUGGAAACGAACCGCCGCCUGAGUGAGCGGCUGCUCUCCUUGGUGCUGCUUUUUUCCUCGGCAGCCUGCUGACCUGCUUAACUCAGCUGAGAGGGAGCUGAUGGAGGAGACAGAGACACUGAAAAGCAAGGUUCACAUAUUGCUCUUCUACUCUUACAGUACAUUCGGAAAGUAUUCAGACCACAUUUUGUGCAGCGACGCUCCCCAUCAAC
This is a non-coding RNA of Salvelinus sp. IW2-2015, 1224 nucleotides long. Lineage: Eukaryota; Metazoa; Chordata; Actinopteri; Salmoniformes; Salmonidae. The record is from RefSeq and is a predicted model, not a curated record.